RNAcentral lists this unclassified non-coding RNA (23 nucleotides) under Mus musculus (house mouse). Its description in RNAcentral is "oocyte_clustered_small_RNA1203". The record is from RNAcentral. Lineage: Eukaryota; Metazoa; Chordata; Mammalia; Rodentia; Muridae.
CUGACCUUAGCCAUUCUGACUGG